GUGCCAGCCGCCGCGGUAAUACGUAGGGGGCGAGCGUUGUCCGGAUUUAUUGGGCGUAAAGAGCUCGUAGGCGGUUCAACAAGUCGGUCGUGAAAGUUCAGGGCUCAACCCUGAAAUGUCGAUCGAUACUGUUGUGACUAGGAUACGGCAGAGGUGAGUGGAAUUCCAAGUGUAGAGGUGAAAUGCGUAGAUAUUCGGAGGAACACCAAUUGCGAAGGCAGUUCACUGGACCGUGAUCGACGCUGAGGUGCGAAAGCGUGGGGAGCAAACAGGAUUAGAUA
RNAcentral lists this ribosomal RNA (281 nucleotides) under uncultured bacterium. Its description in RNAcentral is "partial 16S ribosomal RNA". It matches the Rfam family "Bacterial small subunit ribosomal RNA", at positions 505 to 784 of the family's 1533-position model. The record is from RNAcentral.